Molecule: long non-coding RNA, 1896 nt
Organism: Pseudopipra pipra
Lineage: Eukaryota; Metazoa; Chordata; Aves; Passeriformes; Pipridae
Exons: 2
Source: RefSeq, a predicted model, not a curated record
GGCUGAUCCCAGGGCAAUCCUGAGGCCGAUCCCGGGCUGAUCCUGGGGCCAAUCCCAGGGUGAUCCCAAGUCGAUCUCAGGGCCGAUCCCAGGCUGAUCCUGGGGCCAAUCUCGGGCUGAUCCCGAGGCCAAUCCCAGGGCCAAUCCCAGGCUGAUCCCAGGGCCAAUCCUGGGCCAAUCCCAGGCCUUCCAACCCAGGAUGUCCCGAUGAACAGGAGCGAUGCAAAGCCUCGGCCAGGAAUCCUGGCCAAAGGGGGCCGAAUCCUCAGGGUGGAGCUUCCUCAAAGCCAUAUUUCGUUGGAAAAUUAAAUAAGUUUCUAAGUGCUGAAUUCUCAAGGAGCAGCUUCUUAAAUGCCAUUAUUUCAUUGGGAAGUUAAAUAAGUUUCUGAGUGUUGAAUUCUCAAGGAUGAGCUUCUUAAAAGCCAUUAUUUCAUUGGAAAAUUAAAUAAGUUUCUGAGUGUUGAAUUCUCCAGGAGGAGCUUCUUAAAAGCCAUAUUUCACUUGAAAAUUGAGAGAAGUUUCUAAGUGUUGAAUUCUUAACUAGCAGCUUCUUAAAUGCCAUUAUUUCACUGGGAAAUUAAAUAAGUUUCUGAGUGUUGAAUUCUCCAGGAGGAGCUUCUUAAAAGCCAUGUUUGAAAACUGAGAGGAGUUUCUAAGGGUUGAGUUCUCCAGGAUGAGCUUCCUAUUUUUUAAAAGCCAUCUUUAAUUGGAAAAUUUAGGUAGUUUUUAAGUGUUGAACUCUCCAGGGUAAGUUUUUAAAAGCCACCUUUGAUUUGAAAAUUGAGAGAAUUUUCUGAGUGUUGAAUUCUUAAGGAUCCAGUGGGAUUUGAGCUCCCAACCCCUUCACCCUAAAAUCCGGUGGGAUUUGAGCUCCCAACCCUCCCAGACCCAAAAUCCAGUGGGAUUUGAGCUCCCAACCCUCCCAGACCCAAAAUCCAGUGGGUUUGGAGCUCAUAAAACGCCCAGUCCCAAAUUCCAGUGGGAUUUGAGCUCCUGAACCCCUCAGACCCAAAAUCCAGUGGGAUUUGAGCUCCCAAACCCCUCAGACCCAAAAUCCAGUGGGAUUUGAGCUCCUAAACUCCCAAGACCCAAAAUCCAGUGGGAUUUGAGCUCCCAACCCCCCUCAGACCCAAAAUCCAGUGGGAUUUGAGCUCCCAAACCCAUUCAGUGGAAUUUGAGCUCCCAAACCCCUCACACCCAAAACUAAGUUGGAUUUGAGCUCCCAAAUCCCCCAGUCCCAAAAUCCAGUGGGAUUUGAGCUCCCAAGAGCAUUCAGUGGAAUUUGGGCUUCCAAACCCUUCACACCCAAAAUCCAGUUGAUUUGACCCCUCACACCCAAAAUCCAGUGGGAUUUGAGCUCCUAAACCCCUCACACCCAAAAUCCAGUGGGAUUUGAGCUCCUAAACCCCCCAGACCCAAAAUCCAGUGGGAUUUGACCUCCCAACCCCCCUAGACCCAAAAUCCAGUGGGAUUUGAGCUCCCAACCCCUUCACCCAAAAAUCCAGUGGGAUUUGAGCUCCCAACCCCCCCAGACCCAAAAUCCAGUGGAAUUUGAGCUCCUGAACCCCUCACACCCAAAAUCCAGUGGAAUUUGAGCUCCUAACCCCCUCCCAGACCCAAAAUCCAGUGGAAUUUGACCUCCCAACCCCCCCAGACCCAAAAUCCAGUGGGAUUUGAGCUCCCAACCCCCCUUCCCAAUUCACAGUUUCCCAAAUCCCGCCGCCGCCUCCUUUCCCUCCGAAGCUCCCCCCGGCUUUUCCCGCCGAUGGAAACCCCCAAUUCCAGGGGCAGAAUUCCCAGGAUCACCCCUUGCUGGGGGUGAUUUCCCUCCCAGUCCCCCCCCCCCGGGAACUCCCCGCGCUCCCUUUUCCCGUUUCCAGCUGCUUUUCCCCGGGG